AUCUUUUCCACUGUAAUGUUUUGGCUUGAAUUUCUAAGUCUUUCAAAUUAAUUUUUUGGUCUCUAAAUGGUUGGGCUUUGUUUAGAAACACUUCAGCUCUUCUGUUAUGCUGGCUUCCUUUGGUAGAGGAACUGUCAAAUCGGGCUUUGUUGUGGGAAGAGAGGAGCAGCAGGAAGGAGCAGAGCAGAGGGAGAAGCCAGUGCAAGUUUUCCUGGAGGCUUUUUGUCUUACUGGUAUUGAAGAUAUUUGGCCAAAAGCUUACUGGGACAGAGAAGAAGAGGACUAGACACCCUUGUAAAAGAGGCUUGGGAUAAUUACAUGUGACACAGGGAUAAAGCAGAGCUGAGGCAGUUCGGGAUGAUGUGAUGAUGAGGAGAAUGCAAUUUUGGUUCCAAAAAACCUGUAUCUGCAGUGAAGCAGACAGACAGGCUGCAACUCUGGGAAGCACAUGAAGCAUACAUUUUAACUGGUGGGGAUGCCGCUGCAAAAAUUUGGGGUGAGACCCCAGCACCUUUGAAGGUGCUCCUUCAAAGACAGGCGCAUCCAAAAGACCCAGGGCACUUCAGGUCCAGGAUCUGGCCAGGAUUUUCUGAGCAAAGUCCUGCCUGAGUUUAUGGUGGCACAUGCAAAGGAUGUGCCAUGCUUUGGUGUCCCAGCAGGAGAUGGCAGCGUGUCCCUCUCCCACCACCUUCCCCUUGGCUUCUGGGUUUAGAGCAGCUUCAUUCACUUCCUGCUGCAAAGAACGCUCGGCCCACGCCUUCCAAAGGGAAAAGAGUGGGAAAUGUCAACAGCUUCACCUCUCUGGGUUUCUUAAUGAAUUAUAGAUGGAGCCCAGGCAAGAGACUGAAUUGUUCUGACAACUGAGCAACUUUGAACGCGAGAAGCCAAACGCGACAGGACAGGAGAGAUUCACGGAGGCUGAGGGACUGCGGCUCCCCGUCCGUGGCUGUCAGGCUGUGCUCGGCUAACAGAGGCACUGCCCAGGUGCUUCAUGGGCUCACCCCCGAGCUCUGUCACAGGACUCCCUUGGGAACUGCUCAGGCUCCUACUGCUCUCUUUGCCCUGCCAACCCUCCGGCUCCCAGCGCUCUCAGUCAUCCGCUGUUAAACUGCAAAACAGAUCGGGGAGAUGAGAUGGUUUGGAAGAUCCCCUCCACCCCACAGCAGGCCUGGCAAGGAGCAGGGAGAGUGGGAAAGAGGGUUGGAAUUUUUAUGUGAGAUUUUUAUUACUCUGGUAGCAAUCCCCCAGAGAGCUGUAUUAAGCCAGAAAAUGGGGAAGUGCAAGAUAUGUGGACCCACAAACUGAGACAGGAGUUGAGAAGUAUGAAGCAAUGUCUUGUCGACAUCCAGCUGCAAAUGCUGUCAUUCAACCACAAAACCAGACCAGGAACCUGGGCUGCAACAAACAGGCAACAGCAGAAAUUGUCCUGCACGUGUGACUAACACCUCUCAAUGUAAGAGCCUUUCAUCUUCUGUUCCACCAAAUCCUGAAAAUACACUUUCGCUGUGAAGAAAGCAUCCUACAGGAGACCAGAGGACUUACCUUACUCCUGCUCCAGAAAAUUCCCUCACCAGUUCAGGCACCAGCAGGCAGAGUAUGUCUCCAAGGGCCCAAAGACUGAGCACACCCCUUGUAUGUGACACCCUCAAGGCCACCCUAAAGAAAACAUCUGAAGGCAGGCAAUCCACAACUCCUGUACCCACAACAGCUACACCAAACUACACACCUCAUUUAGAGAAGGAGGAGAACAUGGCAAUGCACUUUGCUCAGUCCAUAACCAUUUCCAUGUCAGGAGUGUUCUCUGCAUGCAAAUACCAUGGUGCUGGCAGGAAAAUGCCAUUUGUGCUCCUGAAACAGCCCUUAAGUGUAGCACUAUGCUGCCCUGUGUUAAAAUGAAAUCAAAGCACCCUUCCUUCACUCAAACAACCUUCCUCUAAACCUCUUGAUUUUAAAAGGUCAGAAUGUGUUUUCUGACCUUUUUCACUAUGGCCUAACCAGGCUUUAACUGCAGAGUAGCUGGAGGCAGCUCCUGAACGUCUCCUUUCUGUAACUUGCCACAGUUGGUGGAUUCCUGAGAGCAUAACUCAGUAAGACAUUACACACAUGCUUAAUGACAUCAACAGGGCUGCAUUUCUUCUUGUGUGGGCAAAAUACUUGGGUCAAACUCUUCAUAGGUAUCUCCUACUGCAAGUCCUGCUUUGGAGCCUGUCUGCAGAAGCUGGUGGGAGUUGUGCUUCAAUGAACAUUAAGGUUGGGUCCAUUGCAAUAAAUGAAGCAUGUUGGAGAUAAUUGUCUUGUACAGCCCAAGCCCACAGUCUCAUGCUCUCAUUCAUCCACAGAACGGGGGUUGUAUUUUCUCCCAGGAGUGGUCCCUGACCAGAGCUAACUCCUGAGUGGUUUAUGGGAUUGGUUUUGGGAAAGAGCCUUUUGACUGCAGCCAAAAUAUUGCUUCAGGCUGUUCUAACUUGGUAAAAACCACAUAUUUUGUGUUUCAGGCUGAGCAUCUGGUAACAGUGGGUCCUUUGGACCUUAAUCCCCCCGUACUAGAGAUUCUUCUCUUCUCUCAGUACUUCUCCAUACAGGACAUGUCCAGCUCUCUACCCACUUCAGCUCCUCUUUCUCUCUCAGUUCCCAGUCCUGUUUGCUGCCUGAGGCAACCACCUCUACUACAGGUGACAAAGACUAAUUAAGAUAUCAAAAUAGGAAUAAGCGUGCAUGAGAGCCUAAUAAAAUAAAUACAAAGAUGUCAAAAUUUUAUCAAAAGAGACAUUUCAGAUAAAUAGAUGAUACUAUGGAACAGCCUGAACACACAAAUGUGCUCCUUGCUUUACAUUGGUAUUAAGUGAAUAAGAGCAAUUGCAAUUAAAUGCUUCUGGAGACAGUAGGUGACAGGAUUGCUGCUUGGACUGAGGUGCUGCCUGCAGAACAUUUCCUAACACCACAGUGUUACUGGAGUCAAGAUUGUGAAGUUUCUUCACAGGCACCUAAAAAACAUUGUAAAACGUAUUUGUAAUUGGUCAAAUUGCUGUUUCUGCAUCUGCAAUGGCUUCUUUUGGCUUCUAGUGUUCUAAAUGGAGAUCCAGUACUGAACUACACAAACCUUAAGACCAAGAUCCCCUUUCUAAUGCAGUACCUAG
Haemorhous mexicanus (house finch) is the source of this 3137-nucleotide long non-coding RNA. RefSeq lists it as uncharacterized. The transcript is spliced from 4 exons. NCBI's taxonomy places the organism in Eukaryota, Metazoa, Chordata, Aves, Passeriformes, Fringillidae. The record is from RefSeq and is a predicted model, not a curated record.